AAAAUGGCUCUAUUGCUUGUUUGACUCUUUAAAUCAAUAAUACUUAAGAGCCACAUCUUAUUCUUAAAAAAGAAUAUU
This is a non-coding RNA of Ricinus communis (castor bean), 78 nucleotides long. The record is from Rfam. Lineage: Eukaryota; Viridiplantae; Streptophyta; Magnoliopsida; Malpighiales; Euphorbiaceae.